This 496-nucleotide ribosomal RNA is filed under the name uncultured bacterium. RNAcentral describes it as "partial 16S ribosomal RNA". It matches the Rfam family "Bacterial small subunit ribosomal RNA", at positions 28 to 506 of the family's 1533-position model. The record is from RNAcentral.
GAUGAACGCUGGCGGCGUGCCUAAUACAUGCAAGUCGAGCGAACGGACGAGAAGCUUGCUUCUCUGAUGUUAGCGGCGGACGGGUGAGUAACACGUGGAUAACCUACCUAUAAGACUGGGAUAACUUCGGGAAGCCGGAGCUAAUACCGGAUGAUAUUUUGAACCGCAUGGUUCAAAAGUGAAAGACGGUCUUGCUGUCACUUAUAGAUGGAUCCGCGCUGCAUUAGCUAGUUGGUAAGGUAACGGCUUACCAAGGCAACGAUGCAUAGCCGACCUGAGAGGGUGAUCGGCCACACUGGAACUGAGACACGGUCCAGACUCCUACGGGAGGCAGCAGUAGGGAAUCUUCCGCAAUGGGCGAAAGCCUGACGGAGCAACGCCGCGUGAGUGAUGAAGGUCUUCGGAUCGUAAAACUCUGUUAUUAGGGAAGAACAUAUGUGUAAGUAACUGUGCACAUCUUGACGGUACCUAAUCAGAAAGCCACGGCUAACUACGU